Molecule: long non-coding RNA, 1110 nt
Organism: Gadus macrocephalus (Pacific cod)
Lineage: Eukaryota; Metazoa; Chordata; Actinopteri; Gadiformes; Gadidae
Exons: 3
Source: RefSeq, a predicted model, not a curated record
GUGAUUUGUUUUGUUUGACUGUCCAACAGACACUUUAGGUAAAUAAGUAAGGUGUCACCAACUGGCUAUAAAAUCACAGGACCAAGGCCUUUAUCUUGGCCAUAUAGCAACAACCACCGAUACCUGACACUUUAGGUGAAUAAGUAACUGUCUAUAAAUCACAGGACUGAGGCAUUGAUCUUGGCCAUAUAGCAUCAACCAAUGAUACCUGCCCUUAACAAUCGAAAGACAUGGAGAUUACCACUAACGUGUUUUCCAAUGGCACGGAAUCUGCCCGACGUAAUGGGCCAUCAACCCAAUGUCUGGGCCAUACAUACUGGAUUUCCGUUGCAAUAAGUGACCUUUCGUGUAUCUUCAUUGGACAACCUGUGAUUGCAAAACUGCUAUGGACCGCCUUUCACUCAAAGAAGACGGACGUCCUCAAUAUCAAUUUGGGUCUCUUUCACAACUUCCAAUACCUGCUAACCACUAUACACUUGGGUUUCAUAUAUCAAUUUAACAAGGAUCCAAGUUUAAAAAUUGUUUCUUUCAUAAGUGUGUAUCUUCUCAUAGGAGGCCCGCUGACUUUAUCCUUCAUCUGUUUGGGGCGGUACAUUGCUGUGAUCCAUCCCGCCUUCUACCCACUGUUGAAAAGGUACAGAUGUAGGGAGGGUUGUGCUCUGUCAAUGUGGUUUCUAGUGCUGCCCACUGCCACGAUUAAAUACUUUUUAAUUGAAUUCAAAAUUAGCAAUCAGAUUGUAAUAGACUACAUGGUGUACACUGUAAUGUUCCUCAUGCUGAUUGUAAUAGCAUGGUGCGAACACGCUAUUCUGAAGGCACUCAGAAUCUCGGGGCCUGCGACUGAUAAAUUACAUCCUGCCAAAAAGCGAGCUUUUCAAACUAACCGUGCCAUUGCAAUCAUUGCAUCGAUGUGUUACAUUCCAGUUGGUGGAUUAAUUUCAUGCACAUUGAUAAAAGGAAAUGAAACAAUUUGUUCAACAAUUCCUGCCAUCCUAUUCCUGGUAUCGAUUGCUAGUGUUGCGCAUCCCAUAUUUUACCUGUCAACUACGGGGAACCUGCCUUGCCUAAUCAUCACAGAUUCCAUAAGAAACUGGCGUCAUGUGGCGUCAG